AAUAAAUAUGGGGCUGACCUUAAAGUCAUACGUUUAGGACAGAAAAGGUAUAACAAGAUUGAAGACAAAGAACGUGAAUUCAACAAGAGUUUCCAUCUCAUCCUUCACACUGAUCUGGCUAACACCCACUACAAGCUAGAACUGCAGGCUCACACCACCUCCAUUAAUUUCACUGUCACCAGAGAUGGGCUGGAAGACCAGCUGUUGGCUGAGGUUGCUAGUGCUGAAAGGCCAGACUUAGAAGAAAAAUAAGUCAGUCCUGACCAAAGAUCAGAACUAUUUCAAGACUGAGCUCAAGCAGCUUGGGGACAACAUGCUGCUCAGUCUGUUGGCUGCCCCAUGUAGUUCCUUAGGUGACAGUGAACUUGUGGAGAAACUUCAAUCAAUGAAGUCAACUGCAGCUGAAAUACAGUGCAAGGUCUUCAAUGCAGUCUUCCACAAAGCAAUCCAACAGGCUGAAGAAUCAGGAGAUACUCAGUGACAUAUCUCUAACACAACAGAAGCUGUCACCUACUCAACCUUUCUUUUCACAAGCCAAGGACUUUUUGAAAAGGAUAAGCUCAUUUUCCUGGCCCAGAUAGCUUUUCAAGUGAGGAAAAAUUUUCAUGUUGCUGAUGCUGGUGGUUUACUGUUUUUGCUGCUUCUUAACUAGAAGGUGAUGCCUUUACCCAAAUGAAUAUCUUCUUACCUUGUGGUAGUG
RNAcentral lists this long non-coding RNA (700 nucleotides) under Dromaius novaehollandiae (emu). RNAcentral describes it as "lncRNA (ENSDNVG00000016885.1)". Lineage: Eukaryota; Metazoa; Chordata; Aves; Casuariiformes; Dromaiidae. The record is from RNAcentral.